GAUCAAGCUACAAAGAGCGUAUGGUGGAUGCCUUGGCAUUAGGCGCCGAUGAAGGACGUGACAAGCUGCGAUAAGCUGCGGUGAGUGGCAAAUACACUUUGACCCGCAGAUUUCCGAAUGAGGAAACUCACUAUGUUGAAGACAUAGUAUCUUUACACGAAUAAAAUAGUGUAUCGAGGGGAACCCGGAGAACUGAAACAUCUCAUUAUCCGGAGGAAAAGAAAGAAAAUAUUCGAUUUCCUGAGUAGUGGCGAGCGAAAGGGAAGGAGCCCAAACCGUUUGUAGAAAUAUAAACGGGGUUGAGAACUGCGUAACCGACCGAUUUUGAUAGUCGAAGCACUUGGAAAGGUGUGCCAUAGAGAGUGACAGCCUCGUAGGCGAAAUCAAAAUGGUCGCGGCAGAGUUCCAGAGUACCACAGGACACGUGGAAUCCGGUGGGAAUACAAGGAGGACCAUCUCCUAAGGCUAAAUACGACCUAAUGACCUAUAGAGUAUAGUACCGUGAGGGAAAGGUGAAAAGAACCCCGGGAGGGGAGUGAAAUAGAAUCUGAAACCAUACGCUUACA
This 566-nucleotide non-coding RNA is filed under the name Subdoligranulum sp. CAG:314. Its description in RNAcentral is "Bacterial large subunit ribosomal RNA". It matches the Rfam family "Bacterial large subunit ribosomal RNA", at positions 1 to 568 of the family's 2925-position model. Lineage: Bacteria; Bacillati; Bacillota; Clostridia; Eubacteriales; Oscillospiraceae. The record is from Rfam by way of RNAcentral.